CUAUAGGGCAAAGCCAGUGUCAAGAACACAAGGUCUUGCCGCUGAUGUCCUGCACUGAUAAGGCUUCUAAAUGCAGAGGACAACAGUUGGUAUAUUGCAGAGCAUAGAGAGACUCAUAACCACCCGCUUUCACCUAAUUUUGGUGAGACAAUCCAUUGGCCAUCGCACAAAAAAAUAGAUGUUUACACCAAGGAUCUUGUGAAACGGCUUAGGCAGAACAAUGUGAACUUCGCAAAGGGGUACAGUAUCAUUGGAGGUUUCUUUGGGUCGAUGGAAAAUGUGCCAGUCACGGAAAGGUCUUUGCGAAAUCUUUGUGGGAAGAUAAAUAGGGAUCACACCGAUGACGAUGUUAAGAAGACAGUGGAUGUGUUUGCAGAGAUUGGAGCUUGGCCUAUUUGUUGGGGUGAACAACCACUUUCAGAGUGUGAUAUUGGCUUUAGUGCUGGUUCAUGA
Molecule: ribosomal RNA, 453 nt
Filed under: Triticum aestivum (bread wheat)
Lineage: Eukaryota; Viridiplantae; Streptophyta; Magnoliopsida; Poales; Poaceae
Description: partial small subunit ribosomal RNA
Source: RNAcentral